RNAcentral lists this ribosomal RNA (1416 nucleotides) under Vibrio cholerae. Its description in RNAcentral is "partial 23S ribosomal RNA". It matches the Rfam family "Bacterial large subunit ribosomal RNA", at positions 1 to 1471 of the family's 2925-position model. The record is from RNAcentral. Lineage: Bacteria; Pseudomonadati; Pseudomonadota; Gammaproteobacteria; Vibrionales; Vibrionaceae.
GUUGUAUGGUUAAGUGACUAAGCGUACACGGUGGAUGCCUGGGCAGUCAGAGGCGAUGAAGGACGUACUAACUUGCGAUAAGCGCAGAUAAGGCAGUAAGAGCCGUUUGAGUCUGCGAUUUCCGAAUGGGGAAACCCAACUGCAUAAGCAGUUACUGUUAACUGAAUACAUAGGUUAACAGAGCAAACCGGGGGAACUGAAACAUCUAAGUACCCCGAGGAGAAGAAAUCAACCGAGAUUCCGGUAGUAGCGGCGAGCGAACCUGGAUUAGCCCUUAAGCACUCGGUGAAGUAGGUGAACAAGCUGGAAAGCUUGGCGAUACAGGGUGAUAGCCCCGUAACCGACGCUUCAUCGAGCGUGAAAUCGAGUAGGGCGGGACACGUGAUAUCCUGUCUGAAUAUGGGGGGACCAUCCUCCAAGGCUAAAUACUCCUGACUGACCGAUAGUGAACCAGUACCGUGAGGGAAAGGCGAAAAGAACCCCUGUGAGGGGAGUGAAAUAGAACCUGAAACCGUGUACGUACAAGCAGUAGGAGCACCUUCGUGGUGUGACUGCGUACCUUUUGUAUAAUGGGUCAGCGACUUAUAUUCAGUGGCAAGGUUAACCGUAUAGGGGAGCCGUAGCGAAAGCGAGUCUUAACUGGGCGCUCAGUCUCUGGAUAUAGACCCGAAACCGGGUGAUCUAGCCAUGGGCAGGUUGAAGGUUGAGUAACAUCAACUGGAGGACCGAACCGACUAAUGUUGAAAAAUUAGCGGAUGACUUGUGGCUAGGGGUGAAAGGCCAAUCAAACUCGGAGAUAGCUGGUUCUCCCCGAAAGCUAUUUAGGUAGCGCCUCGGACGAAUACUACUGGGGGUAGAGCACUGUUAAGGCUAGGGGGUCAUCCCGACUUACCAACCCUUUGCAAACUCCGAAUACCAGUAAGUACUAUCCGGGAGACACACGGCGGGUGCUAACGUCCGUCGUGGAGAGGGAAACAACCCAGACCGCCAGCUAAGGUCCCAAAGUAUUGCUAAGUGGGAAACGAUGUGGGAAGGCUCAGACAGCUAGGAUGUUGGCUUAGAAGCAGCCAUCAUUUAAAGAAAGCGUAAUAGCUCACUAGUCGAGUCGGCCUGCGCGGAAGAUGUAACGGGGCUAAGCAAUACACCGAAGCUGCGGCAAUAUCUUUUAGACAUUGGGUAGGGGAGCGUUCUGUAAGCCGUUGAAGGUGAAUCGUAAGGUUUGCUGGAGGUAUCAGAAGUGCGAAUGCUGACAUGAGUAACGACAAAGGGGGUGAAAAACCUCCUCGCCGGAAGACCAAGGGUUCCUGUCCAACGUUAAUCGGGGCAGGGUGAGUCGACCCCUAAGGUGAGGCCGAAAGGCGUAAUCGAUGGGAAACGGGUUAAUAUUCCCGUACUUCUGACUAUUGCGAUGGGGGG